UUUCCAUGCUACUAUUUCUCCCCCUUCACAUCAAUCUUCACAAGGAGACAUACUCAUUCUCCCUCCGCUCCCCACACAAGCAGACUAGUAAUAUAGAACGCUUGAUCCUUCUUCCUCCACCUCUGUGCUCUUUACUGCCCAGUUCACCCCAAAUCUUUAAAACAAAACAAAACAAAACAAAACAAAAAAAAAACAUUUUGAGGGAGCAGGUGGGAGAACCAGAGGUCUGGAGAGAUGGCAAUAUGGUUCGAAACGCAUACUGCACUUGAAGAGCAACCAAGUUUUGUUUCCAGAACCCAUGUGAGGAGGCUCACAACCGUCUGUAACUUCAGGAGAUCCAAUGCUUUCUACUAGACUAUUUGGGUGCCAGCACUCAAGAGACAGAGGCAGACAGAUCUCUGUGAGUUCAAGGAGCGCCUAAAACAAAAUCCUGCAUGAAGGGAUCCAGAAAAAUAGAUCUGAGCUCAGCUGGAGAGAUGGUUCAUCAACACUGGAGCAUUUAGACCCAAAUUCCAACCCCCAGAAUUCAUAAAAGUGUUGGGUGGGCAUGGAAAUCUACUUGUAAUCCCAGCACACGGGGGACAAGGAUCCCUGGAAUAAACCAGCUAGUGAGACUAUAAUAACUGUGAGUUCCAGGUUCAACUGAGAUACCCUGCAUCAGUGAAUAAGGAGGAAAACUGUUCCUAGAUUCUUCAGGCUUGUGUGACAAUAACCUUUUCCCACGGAAUCAUCUCAUUGUCCUCUCUGCUUUGUUAACAUAGAGUUUCAUGCCCAGAAUAUCUUGAAUUUUACCAUGUAGGGAAAGAUGAAUUUGAACUCAU
This 821-nucleotide long non-coding RNA is filed under the name Cricetulus griseus (Chinese hamster). RNAcentral's name for it is "lncRNA (ENSCGRG00015035667.1)". The record is from RNAcentral. Lineage: Eukaryota; Metazoa; Chordata; Mammalia; Rodentia; Cricetidae.